GUCGAUUAAAUAAUAGUAAAACUCAAACCAAAGCAUCUCUCUGUGUGCUUUUAUCAAGUAUCAAACUGAAUCAUCCCAAGUCUUUUUUAGAAAAAGCUCGCAUUGAGAGUUCAGAUCCUAACCACUUGGUUUCCGUCUUACACUUGUUUGCUGAAGGAAGUUCAAUGUCACAGUAUUAACAGAUAAUUACAAUUCUACCAUGCUGAAAAAUCUUUAAGUUCUGCUGUUGAUGAGCCUGUUUUUCUCUUCUUCACUACAGAAAUAGGUGGCAGACUGCUAUCAGAAUAAGUUUUGGAAUCAGCCUGUGCAGCCCUUGCUUUCAAAUACUUCCCAAUUCCACUGCCAACAGCUUGAAUCUCUGAGGUUCCAGUUCCAGGAUUGCUGUACCAUGAUCCAACCUUCUCAUUGUCUGCAUCUUCAGUUUUGUUGUCAUCGUUUGUUUUCUCCUCUUCUUCAUCAAGCUCUGCAUAGGGGUUUACAUAAACUUCUACACUUAUUAUCUUGAUUUCUUCCAGAGGUCGGUCAUCG
RNAcentral lists this unclassified non-coding RNA (528 nucleotides) under Hevea brasiliensis (rubber tree). The record is from RNAcentral. Lineage: Eukaryota; Viridiplantae; Streptophyta; Magnoliopsida; Malpighiales; Euphorbiaceae.